This 45-nucleotide ribosomal RNA is filed under the name Erigeron canadensis. RNAcentral's name for it is "partial 26S ribosomal RNA". The record is from RNAcentral. RNAcentral also lists the same sequence under 24 other names. Lineage: Eukaryota; Viridiplantae; Streptophyta; Magnoliopsida; Asterales; Asteraceae.
GCGACCCCAGGUCAGGCGGGACUACCCGCUGAGUUUAAGCAUAUC